UGAGGACUGUCCGUCUGUAUAUCUAUCUACUUAUACCACCCCACCCCCAGAUAGAAUGUCGCUAUAUUCUAAUCCCAGUACAGUAUUUUUUUUUUAUCCUCCACUUGCUGCUGAGUUCUUCUUGUGCCGUGAAUUAGCCAUGGCAGCCUCCAAAUGUGUUGUAGAGGGAGAGGAGCGGCGAAGCAUGUUUGCUCCGAAACUGCCUGCCUGUGUACAUUAGUUACUGUGGCUGCUGUGGUUAGAGCCCAAUUUUCAAGCUGUACUAUAAUACUUACUCUAUUGGACGAAAUAAACAGGAUGCAUUCGUUUUGCGUUAGCUCCUGCAUUUGAAAUGUUGAGCAUUAAUAACAUUUUCCGAACUCUGAAGGUGCUCGGUCUUUUUUUUUUUUUUUGAAAAGGGGGUUUACCCCGGCCUCUGCAUCAGAUCGAUGCAUACGGCCUCUCUUAUUAAUGAAAUAAAGAGGUUCAGAACAUAAGUCUUACAACCAAAUGAAAAAAGGUAGCACGUAGCUCACACAGAGCAACGACUAAAAGACACAAACGGGAAAAGCCACAAUAUGAGGUAGGUAAACUAGAUGCCUAUCCUAUUACAUGAUCGCCAUCCAAACCGGUUGAAGAUAUCCCGCGCAACCGUCUCCCACCGGACAGAUCCAGUAACCAAACGCUCCCUGGCCUCCGUCGGAGUGAGUAAGGACCAAGUACGGAUCAGCGCCGUAGCCCGGAACAACACCUGCAAAAAA
This 740-nucleotide long non-coding RNA is filed under the name Triticum aestivum (bread wheat). Its description in RNAcentral is "long non-coding RNA (TAES_LNC000697)". The record is from RNAcentral. Lineage: Eukaryota; Viridiplantae; Streptophyta; Magnoliopsida; Poales; Poaceae.